Molecule: ribosomal RNA, 856 nt
Filed under: uncultured archaeon
Lineage: Archaea
Description: bacterial SSU rRNA
Rfam family: Archaeal small subunit ribosomal RNA
Source: RNAcentral
GUCACGUAGCAAUGCGUGGCGAACGGCUCAGUAACACGUAGUCAACAUGCCCAGGGGACGUGGAUAACCUCGGGAAACUGAGAUUAAACCGCGAUAGGUCAAGAUUUCUGGAAUGGAUUUUGGCUUAAAUCUACAUGGCCCCUGGAUUGGACUGCGGCCGAUCAGGCUGUUGGUGAGGUAAUGGCCCACCAAACCUAUAACCGGUACGGGCUCUGAGAGGAGAAGCCCGGAGAUGGGCACUGAGACAAGGGCCCAGGCCCUAUGGGGCGCAGCAGGCGCGAAACCUCUGCAAUGGGCGAAAGCCUGACAGGGUUACUCUGAGUGAUUUCCGCUAAGGAGAUCUUUUGGCAGCUCUAAAAAUGGUGCAGAAUAAGGGGUGGGCAAGUCUGGUGUCAGCCGCCGCGGUAAUACCAGCACCCCGAGUGGUCGGGACGAUUAUUGGGCCUAAAGCAUCCGUAGCCGGUUGUGCAAGUCCUCCGUUAAAUCCAGCCGCUCAACGGAUGGGCUGCGGAGGAUACUACAGGACUAGGAGGCGGGAGAGGCAAGCGGUACUUAGUGGGUAGGGGUAAAAUCCUUUGAUCCAUUGAAGACCACCAGUGGCGAAGGCGGCUUGCCAGAACGCGCUCGACGGUGAGGGAUGAAAGCUGGGGGAGCAAACCGGAUUAGAUACCCGGGUAGUCCCAGCUGUAAACGAUGCAGACUCGGUGAUGGGCUAGCCUCGUGUCAGCCCAGUGCCGCAGGGAAGCCGUUAAGUCUGCCGCCUGGGGAGUACGGUCGCAAGACUGAAACUUAAAGGAAUUGGCGGGGGAGCACCACAAGGGGUGAAGCCUGCGGUUCAAUUGGAGUCAACGCCGGA